GACGAACGCUGGCGGCGUGCUUAACACAUGCAAGUCGAACGAUGAAGCCCAGCUUGGUGGGUCAGAGAGUGGCGAACGGGUAAGUAACACGUGAGUAACCUGCCCCGCACUCUGGAAUAAACGCUGGAAACGGUAUCUCAUACUGGAUACCACUUAUCACCGCAGGGGUUGUGGGUGGGAUGUUUUAGCGGUUCUGGAUGGACUCGCGGCCUGUCAGCUAGAUGGUGAGGUAAUGGCUCACCAUGGCGACGACGGGUAGCCGGCCUGAGAGGGUGACCGGCCACACUGGGACUGAGACACGGCCCAGACUCCUACGGGAGGCAGCAGUGGGGAAUAUUGCGCAAUGGGCGCAAGCCUGAUGCAGCAACGCCGCGUGAGGGAUGACGGCCUUCGGGUUGUAAACCUCUUUUAGUAGGGAAGAAGCGAAAGUGACGGUACCUGCAGAAGAAGCACCGGCUAACUACGUG
RNAcentral lists this ribosomal RNA (467 nucleotides) under uncultured bacterium. Its description in RNAcentral is "partial 16S ribosomal RNA". It matches the Rfam family "Bacterial small subunit ribosomal RNA", at positions 28 to 507 of the family's 1533-position model. The record is from RNAcentral.